RNAcentral lists this ribosomal RNA (477 nucleotides) under uncultured bacterium. RNAcentral's name for it is "partial 16S ribosomal RNA". It matches the Rfam family "Bacterial small subunit ribosomal RNA", at positions 30 to 507 of the family's 1533-position model. The record is from RNAcentral.
AUUGAACGCUGGCGGCAUGCCUUACACAUGCAAGUCGAACGGUAACAGGUUAAGCUGCCGAGUGGCGAACGGGUGAGUAAUGUAUCGGAACGUGCCCAGUCGUGGGGGAUAACUGCUCGAAAGAGCAGCUAAUACCGCAUACGACCUGAGGGUGAAAGCGGGGGAUCGCAAGACCUCGCCCGAUUGGAGCGGCCGAUAUCAGAUUAGGUAGUUGGUGAGGUAAAGGCUCACCAAGCCGACGAUCUGUAGCUGGUCUGAGAGGACGACCAGCCACACUGGGACUGAGACACGGCCCAGACUCCUACGGGAGGCAGCAGUGGGGAAUUUUGGACAAUGGGCGCAAGCCUGAUCCAGCCAUGCCGCGUGCGGGAAGAAGGCCUUCGGGUUGUAAACCGCUUUUGUCAGGGAAGAAAAGGUUCUGGCUAAUACCUGGGACUCAUGACGGUACCUGAAGAAUAAGCACCGGCUAACUACGUG